GACGAACGCUGGCGGCGUGCUUAACACAUGCAAGUCGAACGGAAAGGCCCUGCUUUUGUGGGGUGCUCGAGUGGCGAACGGGUGAGUAACACGUGAGUAACCUGCCCUUGACUUUGGGAUAACUUCAGGAAACUGGGGCUAAUACCGGAUAGGAGCUCCUGCUGCAUGGUGGGGGUUGGAAAGUUUCGGCGGUUGGGGAUGGCCUCGCGGCUUAUCAGCUUGUUGGUGGGGUAGUGGCUUACCAAGGCUUUGACGGGUAGCCGGCCUGAGAGGGUGACCGGCAACAUUGGGACUGAGAUACGGCCCAGACUCCUACGGGAGGCAGCAGUGGGGAAUAUUGCACAAUGGGCGGAAGCCUGAUGCAGCAACGCCGCGUGCGGGAUGACGGCCUUCGGGUUGUAAACCGCUUUCGCCUGUGACGAAGCGUGAGUGACGGUGAUGGGUAAAGUAGCACCGGCUAACUACGUG
This 468-nucleotide ribosomal RNA is filed under the name uncultured bacterium. RNAcentral's name for it is "partial 16S ribosomal RNA". It matches the Rfam family "Bacterial small subunit ribosomal RNA", at positions 28 to 507 of the family's 1533-position model. The record is from RNAcentral.